Molecule: ribosomal RNA, 36 nt
Filed under: Carinigera praecipua
Lineage: Eukaryota; Metazoa; Mollusca; Gastropoda; Stylommatophora; Clausiliidae
Description: Isabellaria praecipua partial 5.8S ribosomal RNA
Source: RNAcentral
GGCAAACUGAAUCGGUGGAUUAUAACUUUGAGCGGU